This 461-nucleotide ribosomal RNA is filed under the name uncultured bacterium. RNAcentral describes it as "bacterial SSU rRNA". It matches the Rfam family "Bacterial small subunit ribosomal RNA", at positions 8 to 496 of the family's 1533-position model. The record is from RNAcentral.
AGAGUUUGAUCCUGGCUCAGGAUGAACGCUGGCGGCGUGCCUAACACAUGCAAGUCGAGCGAUUUACUUCGGUAAAGAGCGGCGGACGGGUGAGUAACGCGUGGGUAACCUGCCCUGUACACACGGAUAACAUACCGAAAGGUAUGCUAAUACGAGAUAAUAUGCUUUUAUCGCAUGGUAGAAGUAUCAAAGCUUUUGCGGUACAGGAUGGACCCGCGUCUGAUUAGCUAGUUGGUAAGGUAACGGCUUACCAAGGCGACGAUCAGUAGCCGACCUGAGAGGGCGAUCGGCCACAUUGGAACUGAGACACGGUCCAAACUCCUACGGGAGGCAGCAGUGGGGAAUAUUGCACAAUGGGCGAAAGCCUGAUGCAGCAACGCCGCGUGAGCGAUGAAGGCCUUCGGGUCGUAAAACUCUGUCCUCAAGGAAAAUAAUGACGGUACUUGAGGAGGAAGCCCCGG